AAACCAGCACCUCAAGUGGUCAGGAUGAUUAUUGGGCCUAAAGCAUCCGUAGCCGGCUCUGUAAGUUUUCGGUUAAAUCUGUACGCUUAACGUACAGGCCGCCGGGAAUACUGCAGAGCUAGGGAGUGGGAGAGGUAGACGGUACUCGGGAGGAAGUGGUAAAAUGCUUUGAUCUCUCGAUGACCACCUGUGGCGAAGGCGGUCUACCAGAACACGUCCGACGGUGAGGGAUGAAAGCUGGGGGAGCAAACCGGAUUAGAAACCCUAGUAGUCC
This 274-nucleotide ribosomal RNA is filed under the name uncultured bacterium. RNAcentral's name for it is "partial 16S ribosomal RNA". It matches the Rfam family "Archaeal small subunit ribosomal RNA", at positions 473 to 747 of the family's 1478-position model. The record is from RNAcentral.